UAUUGAUGCGGAUUUAGUGUCCAACCAAGCUAAAUAGAAAAGGAAAAAAAAAUCACAUAACCGACCCCAACUAGCUUGGAAUUAAGGCUUAAUUGUUAUUGUUAUUGUUGUGAUGUCAAGAGUGGAUUUUAAUUCUUAGAUGUCAGUAAAUUAUCCCAAGUGUCAGUAUUUAGUAGUUUAAGUUGAUAGUGAGGAGAAGGGUUUUGGGGAGGGGAGAAGGAGUAGUAUUAAUUGAUUCAUAACAAAUAUAAUAGGCAAAAUGAUGCCUAGUGAGCAUAAAUAUCAAAUUCUUAACCAUCUAAUGAGCAACAUAAACAGUGCAAUUAGUAGCUAAGCAUAAAUCUAACCUCUUCAUGUAUUUUGGUCAUUUCCCGUGCCAUGACACACUGU
This 390-nucleotide unclassified non-coding RNA is filed under the name Hevea brasiliensis (rubber tree). The record is from RNAcentral. Lineage: Eukaryota; Viridiplantae; Streptophyta; Magnoliopsida; Malpighiales; Euphorbiaceae.